Molecule: non-coding RNA, 117 nt
Filed under: Gorilla gorilla gorilla (western lowland gorilla)
Lineage: Eukaryota; Metazoa; Chordata; Mammalia; Primates; Hominidae
Source: Rfam by way of RNAcentral
GCCAGGCGUGGUGGCUCACGCCUGUAAUCCCAGCACUUUGGGAGGCCGAGGCGGGUGGAUCACCUGAGGUCAGGAGUUUGAGACCAGCCUGGCCAACAUGGUGAAACCCUGUCUCUA